Molecule: long non-coding RNA, 829 nt
Organism: Olea europaea var. sylvestris
Lineage: Eukaryota; Viridiplantae; Streptophyta; Magnoliopsida; Lamiales; Oleaceae
Exons: 3
Source: RefSeq, a predicted model, not a curated record
UACAAGUUCUAACACUAUAUCUAGAUGUAAAUAUCUUUCAAAAUAAUUUUACUUUGUCAUUACCUUUACAAUUGCUUCUUUUAUAUUAUUUGGAUCUAAUGUCUCUUUGUUUCCAUCCCUUAAAAAAGAAAAACAAUUUUUCAAUGCACAAGGAUAAAUUCUGGUCUUGUUUCACUGUAGAUCAAGUUUUAUUAUAUUUGGUGAAUUUUAAAGGGGUUGCUCAUAAUUAAAUGUUGGAACUUAUACGGACGUCCUGUUCUUGUGCUUGACAGGAUCUAGAACGAUUAAAGCCUGUCAUUCUGACUGGGGACUUGAAUUGUGCUCAUCAGGAAAUAGACAUCUACAAUCCAGCAGGUAAUAGAAGAAGUGCAGGUUUUAUAGAUGAAGAAAGGAAAUCAUUUCAGACAAACUUUUUAGACAAGGGUUUUGUGGAUACCUUUAGGAAACAGCACCCUGAUGUUGUGGGUUAUACUUAUUGGGGCUACAGACACAGUGAACGGAAAACUAACAGGGGGUGGCGGCUUGACUAUUUCCUUGUCUCCGAAUCGAUAUCAGACAUGGUUCACGACUCAUAUAUUCUCCCUGAUGUUAGUGGAAGCGAUCAGAGUCCAAUUGGCCUCAUUCUCAAGCUUUAGGCUCAGGAGUGACCAGACGACUAAUUUCAUAUCCAAAGCGUAAAAGCUGGAUUCUGAAGCUAAUUUAUGACAAUCUGUUUUGGUUUAUAUGGUCUUGUGUUCCAAAAAUGGUAGACUAAUGAGCACCUUCAAGGGCCGAUUUUGAGAGCAAGUUAUUUUCGUGUUUUAAUAGAGAAUUUGGUGAAUCUUUCUUG